GUGCCAGCAGCCGCGUAAUUCCAGCUCCAAUAGCGUAUAUUAAAGUUGUUGCAGUUAAAAAGCUCGUAGUUGAAACUUGGGCCUGGCUGGCGGGUCCGCCUCACCGCGUGCACUCGUCCGGCCGGGCCUUCCUUCUGAAGAACCUCAUGCCCUUCACUGGGCGUGAUGGGGAAUCAGGACUUUUACUUUGAAAAAAUUAGAGUGUUCAAAGCAGGCCUUUGCUCGAAUACGUUAGCAUGGAAUAAUAAAAUAGGGCGUGCGUUUCUAUUUUGUUGGUUUCUAGAGACGCCGCAAUGAUUAACAGGAACAGUCGGGGGCAUCAGUAUUCAGUUGUCAGAGGUGAAAUUCUUGGAUUUACUGAAGACUAACUACUGCGAAAGCUUUUGCCAAGGAUGUUUUCAUUAAUCAGUGAACGAAAGUUAGGGGAUCGAAGACGAUCAGAUACCGUCGUAGUCUUAACCGUAAACUAUGCCGACUAGGGAUCGGGCGAUGUUCUUUUUCUGACUCGCUCGGCACCUUACGAGAAAUCAAAGUUUUUGGGGUUCUGGGGGGAUUAUGGGUCGCAAGGCUGAAACUUAAAGAAAUUGACGGAAGGUCACCACCAGGCGUGGAGCCUGCGGCUUAAUUUGACUCAACACGGGGAAACUCACCAGGUCCAGAUGAAAUAAGGAUUGACAGAUUGAGAGCUCUUUUCUUGAUUUUUCAGGUGGUGGUGCAUGGCCGUUCUUAGUUCGUGGGUGACUUGUCUGCUUAAUUGCGAUAACGAGCGAGACCUUACUCUGCUAAAUAGCCAGGCUAACUUUGCUGGUCGCGGCUUCUUAGAGAGACUUAUCAACUCAAGUUGAUGGAAGUUGAGGCAAUAAACAGGUCUUGUGGAUG
This 879-nucleotide ribosomal RNA is filed under the name uncultured fungus. RNAcentral describes it as "SSU rRNA". It matches the Rfam family "Eukaryotic small subunit ribosomal RNA", at positions 564 to 1469 of the family's 1831-position model. The record is from RNAcentral. Lineage: Eukaryota; Fungi.